This 731-nucleotide ribosomal RNA is filed under the name uncultured Peptostreptococcus sp. Its description in RNAcentral is "bacterial SSU rRNA". It matches the Rfam family "Bacterial small subunit ribosomal RNA", at positions 62 to 779 of the family's 1533-position model. Lineage: Bacteria; Bacillati; Bacillota; Clostridia; Peptostreptococcales; Peptostreptococcaceae. The record is from RNAcentral.
UCGAGCGAGGGUUUGCUCAGUAUUGAGUAUUCUAAAACUAGAAUGUUCAAUUCUGAGCAAAACCAAGCGGCGGACGGGUGAGUAACGCGUGGGUAACCUGCCCUAUACACAUGGAUAACAUACUGAAAAGUUUACUAAUACAUGAUAAUAUAUAUUUGCGGCAUCGCAGAUAUAUCAAAGUGUUAGCGGUAUAGGAUGGACCCGCGUCUGAUUAGCUAGUUGGUGAGAUAACUGCCCACCAAGGCGACGAUCAGUAGCCGACCUGAGAGGGUGAUCGGCCACAUUGGAACUGAGACACGGUCCAAACUCCUACGGGAGGCAGCAGUGGGGAAUAUUGCACAAUGGGCGAAAGCCUGAUGCAGCAACGCCGCGUGAACGAUGAAGGUCUUCGGAUCGUAAAGUUCUGUUGCAGGGGAAGAUAAUGACGGUACCCUGUGAGGAAGCCCCGGCUAACUACGUGCCAGCAGCCGCGGUAAUACGUAGGGGGCUAGCGUUAUCCGGAUUUACUGGGCGUAAAGGGUGCGUAGGUGGUCCUUCAAGUCGGUGGUUAAAGGCUACGGCUCAACCGUAGUAAGCCGCCGAAACUGGAGGACUUGAGUGCAGGAGAGGAAAGUGGAAUUCCCAGUGUAGCGGUGAAAUGCGUAGAUAUUGGGAGGAACACCAGUAGCGAAGGCGGCUUUCUGGACUGCAACUGACACUGAGGCACGAAAGCGUGGGUAGCAAACAGGAUU